Molecule: ribosomal RNA, 520 nt
Filed under: uncultured bacterium
Lineage: Bacteria
Description: partial 16S ribosomal RNA
Rfam family: Bacterial small subunit ribosomal RNA
Source: RNAcentral
GACGAACGCUGGCGGCGUGCUUAACACAUGCAACUCGAACGGAGAAUUUUACUUCGGUGAAAUUCUUAGUGGCGUACGGGUGAGUAACGCGUAGACAACCUGCCUCUUAGAUGGGGACCACAUCGCGAAAGGGGUGCUAAUACCGAAUGAAGUGUAGCUUCCGCAUGGAAGCAUGCACUGACGCGGCCCCUAUUCACAAGCUACCACUGAGAGCUGGGUCUGCGUCUGAUAAGCUAGUUGGCGGGGUAAUGGCCCACCAAGGCGACGAUCAGUAGCCGGUCUGAGAGGAUGAACGGCCACAUUGGGACUGAGACACGGCCCAAACUCCUACGGGAGGCAGCAGUGGGGAAUCUUCCGCAAUGGACGAAAGUCUGACGGAGCAACGCCGCGUGAGUGAAGAAGGUUUUCGGAUCGUAAAGCUCUGUUGUUUGAGACGAAUGUGCAGACCUUGAAUAAGGGUUUGUAAUGACGGUAUUAAACGAGAAAGCCACGGCUAACUACGUGCCAGCCGCCGCAGUAA